CGGGGGGGGUAAGCGUUGUUCGGAAUUACUGGGCGUAAAGGGCUCGUAGGCGGCCAACUAAGUCAGACGUGAAAUCCCUCAGCUUAACUGGGGAACUGCGUCUGAUACUGGAUGGCUUGGAUUUGGGAGAGGGAUGCGGAAUUCCAGGUGUAGCGGUGAAAUGCGUAGAUAUCUGGAGGAACACCGGUGGCGAAGGCGGCAUCCUGGACCAACAUUGACGCUGAGGAGCGAAAGCCAGGGGAGCAAACGGGAUUAGAUACCCCGGUAGUCCUGGCCCUAAACGAUGAAUGCUUGGUGUAGCGGGUAUCGAUCCCUGCUGUGCCGAAGCUAACGCAUUAAGCAUUCCGCCUGGGGAGUACGGUCGCAAGGCUG
RNAcentral lists this ribosomal RNA (372 nucleotides) under uncultured organism. RNAcentral describes it as "bacterial SSU rRNA". It matches the Rfam family "Bacterial small subunit ribosomal RNA", at positions 526 to 896 of the family's 1533-position model. The record is from RNAcentral.